RNAcentral lists this long non-coding RNA (976 nucleotides) under Zalophus californianus (California sea lion). RNAcentral describes it as "lncRNA (ENSZCAG00015011467.1)". The record is from RNAcentral. Lineage: Eukaryota; Metazoa; Chordata; Mammalia; Carnivora; Otariidae.
GAAAUGUCAAAUGAAUGACCGCGCCGGAGCGCGAGGAAGGAAAACAAAGCCACCUCCCGCGGUCCCGUACCUGCGGCGCGAGGGCCGGGCGCGGGCCACGCACUCACCUGGGGCUCGGCGCCGCCGCAGCCGCCGCGGGCUGCGGGUGGGAACGGGGCCGCGGGGCGGGAGGGCGCCCCCGCAGUCGACCCGACCCGGGGCCCCGGCGCCCUCCGGCCGGUCCGCGCACGCCGCGGGGAAAGCAGGCGGCCGGGGGCGCCGCCGCGCGUCGCAUGCAGCUCCCGGCUGCGGCGGCCGCUGCCAAGGGUACCAGGGGACCCUGCGCUGCCGCCCCCGACCCCGCGACCCGAGGCGGCGACGGGAGAGACGCGGCGCAGGAGCAGAGCGCUCUCGGCGCGCCCCUCAGCGACUCUUCCCGCCGCCCUCCGCAGCGGGCUGGGUCUCCGCUCGCCUUUGUGCUGGCAUCUUCCUUCGUUCCCAGCGACACUCGGAGCUCCUCCGUCGGCUCCGCGCAGCCGCCCACCCCCGGGUUACGCCGCGCCCCCCGCGCGACCCGCCGAUUGUGUCGAGUCAGCACCAGCCGCGGCGGGGACGCGCGAAGCCAUGUCUCCAGCCCGCGCUCGAGAGGGCGGCCGGGGGUCCGGGCGCCGCGGAUCCAUCUGGAUCACCAGGUGUUGUGACAAUAAGGUGGAGGGCCAGACACCUUAUCAGCUAAUGAAUGUGUCCCUCAGGAUCCAGCACAGAAGUAUACAGUGGCUAUGAUUCAUUUACUAUGCUGUCAUUCAGUGAUGCCCUCAGGUGCUAGGUAGGUAUAACAUGUUUUUGCCUCUACAACAAUAGCCUUAGAUUAUUACAGUUUUUCUUGUAGUGGUGGUACUUAAAAAAUAACUUUCUUCUUAGAACCCCAUAUUUUUCCUACCUAUCACCUUUUCUUUUAUUGACAAUCUUAUCUCAUUCUAAGUUCCUGCUUACGGCC